UGGAGGCAGCAGUGGGGAAUCUUCCGCAAUGGACGAAAGUCUGACGGAGCAACGCCGCGUGUACGACGAAGGCCUUCGGGUUGUAAAGUACUGUCUUCAGGGACGAAUGGUAGGUAUGAAAAUGUUGUGCCUACAUGACGGUACCUGAGGAGGAAGCCCCGGCUAACUACGUGCCAGCAGCCGCGGUAAUACGUAGGGGGCAAGCGUUGUCCGGAAUCAUUGGGCGUAAAGGGCGCGUAGGCGGAUAUUUAAGUCUGGUGUGAAAACCUAGGGCUCAACCCUGGGACUGCAUCGGAAACUGGGUAUCUUGAGGACAGGAGAGGAAAGUGGAAUUCCACGUGUAGCGGUGAAAUGCGUAGAUAUGUGGAGGAACACCAGUGGCGAAGGCGACUUUCUGGACUGUAACUGACGCUGAGGCGCGAAAGCGUGGGGAGCAAACAGGAUUAGAUACCCUAGUAGUCCG
RNAcentral lists this ribosomal RNA (463 nucleotides) under uncultured bacterium. RNAcentral's name for it is "bacterial SSU rRNA". It matches the Rfam family "Bacterial small subunit ribosomal RNA", at positions 343 to 797 of the family's 1533-position model. The record is from RNAcentral.